AAGUAGUGUGACAUGCCCGUUUUGGUGGUAUACUCUGAUGUUUAUUUAUUAUUUAAUUGCUUUGGGAUAACAAGGUGUUACAAUUGG
This 87-nucleotide microRNA precursor is filed under the name Medicago truncatula (barrel medic). RNAcentral's name for it is "MIR2617 microRNA precursor family". It matches the Rfam family "MIR2617 microRNA precursor family". The record is from Rfam by way of RNAcentral. Lineage: Eukaryota; Viridiplantae; Streptophyta; Magnoliopsida; Fabales; Fabaceae.